CAACGGUAUACGUGGCUUUACGCGGUGUUUGCAGUAAACGCCUUCAAACUUGUACACACGUUUCCACGUGGGUUUUAAAUUUUGGGUGCCUCAUUACAGCGCUAAUGGAGUUUCUAAAAGUUUACAUCAAAUCUCUGAAGAGCCGUUCACCGGGCAACCUAAUUCGAUGCCGCGCUACAGAAAGGAUAGUUGCUAGCCGAGCAACGAUCGCAACUAUUCGAAUACUUGGCGUGCUGAUGGUAACGUGCAUCGUAAGCCCACGAACGACCUUUCAAUAAAUCGGAUUCCCAUCUCUGCCGGUAUCAAAUCACAUUUCCGGCACAGCUUCGCACAUCCGUAGCUCGAGGAUCUCGAAGACAUGGAAUGCAAAUUGCUCG
This 377-nucleotide unclassified non-coding RNA is filed under the name Bombus terrestris (buff-tailed bumblebee). RNAcentral describes it as "misc RNA ENSBTSG00005026313.1". The record is from RNAcentral. Lineage: Eukaryota; Metazoa; Arthropoda; Insecta; Hymenoptera; Apidae.